This 384-nucleotide ribosomal RNA is filed under the name uncultured bacterium. RNAcentral's name for it is "bacterial SSU rRNA". It matches the Rfam family "Bacterial small subunit ribosomal RNA", at positions 30 to 414 of the family's 1533-position model. The record is from RNAcentral.
AUUGAACGCUGGCGGCAUGCCUUACACAUGCAAGUCGAACGGCAGCACGGGAGCAAUCCUGGUGGCGAGUGGCGAACGGGUGAGUAAUAUAUCGGAACGUGCCCAGUCGUGGGGAUAACGUAGCGAAAGCUACGCUAAUACCGCAUACGAUCUAUGGAUGAAAGCGGGGGAUCGCAAGACCUCGCGCGAUUGGAGCGGCCGAUAUCAGAUUAGGUAGUUGGUGAGGUAAAGGCUCACCAAGCCGACGAUCUGUAGCUGGUCUGAGAGGACGACCAGCCACACUGGGACUGAGACACGGCCCAGACUCCUACGGGAGGCAGCAGUGGGGGAAUUUUGGACAAUGGGCGCAAGCCUGAUCCAGCAAUGCCGCGUGCAGGAUGAAGG